AUUCUAGAGCUAAUACAUGCUGUUGUGCCCGACUCACGAAGGGCCGUAUUUAUUAGAUAUCAGCCAAUAAGCUUCUGCUAUUGUGGUGACUCAUAGUAACUUAAUCGGAUCGCAUGGGCCUGUCCCGCGACAAACCAUUCAAGUUUCUGCCCCAUCAUGCUUUCGAUGGUAGUGUAUUGGACUACCAUGGCUUUCACGGGUAACGGAGGAUUAGGGUUCGAUUCCGGAGAGGGAGCCUGAGAAACGGCUACCACUUCCACGGAAGGCAGCAGGCGCGUAAAUUACCCAAUACUGACUCAGUGAGGUAGUG
RNAcentral lists this ribosomal RNA (310 nucleotides) under uncultured Spirotrichea. Its description in RNAcentral is "SSU rRNA". It matches the Rfam family "Eukaryotic small subunit ribosomal RNA", at positions 155 to 469 of the family's 1831-position model. The record is from RNAcentral. Lineage: Eukaryota; Ciliophora; Spirotrichea.